GAUGAACGCUAGCGGGAGGCCUAACACAUGCAAGCCGAGCGGUAUUGUUUCUUCGGAAAUGAGAGAGCGGCGUACGGGUGCGUAACACGUGUGCAACCUGCCUUUAUCUGGGGGAUAGCCUUCCGAAAGGAAGAUUAAUACUCCAUAAUAUAUUGAACGGCAUCGUUUAAUAUUGAAAGCUCCGGCGGAUAGAGAUGGGCACGCGCAAGAUUAGCUAGUUGGUGAGGUAACGGCUCACCAAGGCGAUGAUCUUUAGGGGGCCUGAGAGGGUGAUCCCCCACACUGGUACUGAGACACGGACCAGAAUCCUACGGGAGGCAGCAGUGAGGAAUAUUGGUCAAUGGGUGCAAGCCUGAACCAGCCAUCCCGCGUGAAGGACGACUGCCCUAUGGGUUGUAAACUUCUUUUGUAUAGGGAUAAACCUACCCUCGAGAGGGUAGCGGAAGGUACUAUACGAAUAAGCACCGGCUAACUCCGU
This 478-nucleotide ribosomal RNA is filed under the name uncultured bacterium. RNAcentral's name for it is "partial 16S ribosomal RNA". It matches the Rfam family "Bacterial small subunit ribosomal RNA", at positions 28 to 506 of the family's 1533-position model. The record is from RNAcentral.